CUAUCACAAGCCUCAAUCAGUUGAUCAGAAACUCCCAAUUCUUUGAAAGACUUCAUUUCUUCCUUGGAUUCUUCCAUUUAGCGGUUCUCCACAGUGAGUUCUAUUAAGACAGUAACUUCAAAUCAACAAACUGAAUCACGUUUACUGAAAAGGGACUUAAAACAAACAGAAAAGUAAUUUUUUCUCCCAAUUUCUUUCUUUUUAUUCAGUCCAUUUAAUAAUCCUCUUUAUUUUCCAAAGAAUAAAUAAUCUCUCACAUAAAUCGAC
This 267-nucleotide long non-coding RNA is filed under the name Nicotiana benthamiana. RNAcentral's name for it is "long non-coding RNA (NBEN_LNC001928)". Lineage: Eukaryota; Viridiplantae; Streptophyta; Magnoliopsida; Solanales; Solanaceae. The record is from RNAcentral.